This 502-nucleotide ribosomal RNA is filed under the name uncultured bacterium. RNAcentral describes it as "bacterial SSU rRNA". It matches the Rfam family "Bacterial small subunit ribosomal RNA", at positions 29 to 507 of the family's 1533-position model. The record is from RNAcentral.
AAUGAACGCUGGCGGCGUGCUUAACACAUGCAAGUCGAGCGAGAACGUCGACUUCGGUCGACUAGUAAAGCGGCGAACGGGUGAGUAACACGUGGGCAACCUGCCCUGGAGUGGGGGAUAACCUGGGGAAACUCGGGCUAAUACCGCAUACGACCUCAGCACUGCGGUGCUGAGAGGAAAGCUAGCCUAUUCAUGAAAGCUAGCGCUCCUGGAGGGGCCCGCGCCCGAUUAGCUUGUUGGUGAGGUAACGGCUCACCAAGGCGGUGAUCGGUAGCCGGCCUGAGAGGGCGAUCGGCCACACUGGGACUGAGACACGGCCCAGACUCCUACGGGAGGCAGCAGUGGGGAAUAUUGGACAAUGGGCGCAAGCCUGAUCCAGCAACGCCGCGUGGAGGACGAAGGCCUUCGGGUCGUAAACUCCUGUCAGUUGGGACGAAAAGCCGUCGGUCAAUAUCCGGCGGUCAUGACGGUACCAGCAGAGGAAGCCCCGGCUAACUCCGUG